GACGAACGCUGGCGGCGUGCUUAACACAUGCAAGUCGAACGGAAAGGCCCUGCUUUUGUGGGGUGCUCGAGUGGCGAACGGGUGAGUAACACGUGAGUAACCUGCCCUUGACUUUGGGAUAACUCCAGGAAACUGGGGCUAAUACCGGAUAGGAGCUCCUGCUGCAUGGUGGGGGUUGGAAAGUUUCGGCGGUUGGGGAUGGACUCGCGGCUUAUCAGCUUGUUGGUGGGGUAGUGGCUUACCAAGGCGUUGAUGGGUAGCCGGCCUGAGAGGGUGAUCAGCCACACGGGAACUGAGAGACGGGCCAGACUACUACGGGAGGGAGCAGUGGGGAAUAGGGGACAAUGGGCGGAGGGGUGAUGCAGGCAUGCCGCGUGGGUGAAGAAGGUCUUCGGAUGGGAAAGAAGUGUAAGUGGGGAGGAAGGGCAGUAAGUGAAUAACGGGCUGUUUGGAGGGUACCAAAAGAAUAAGAAACGGCUGACGUCGUG
This 488-nucleotide ribosomal RNA is filed under the name uncultured bacterium. RNAcentral describes it as "partial 16S ribosomal RNA". It matches the Rfam family "Bacterial small subunit ribosomal RNA", at positions 28 to 507 of the family's 1533-position model. The record is from RNAcentral.